UGCAGGACAGGGGUUCCCUGAGGACAGGGUUAAGUACCACUGCUUUGGGCGGAGGGAGGGAGGCAUGGAAGGCCUUAAACCCACUCCUUACCCCGAACCCCACCUGAUGUCUCUCCUUCAACUCCUCUCUAGUUUUCCCUCUGUUUCUUGUUGUUUUUCUCACCCCUCCCUCCGUCUAGGGAGCAAGAAUCCUUCAAGAAAGGUCAGGGAAGGGGGGGGAGGUGGUGCUGGGAGCAGGGGUGGGCAGGCCUGCCUUCUCAGCCAAUAAAACUGGAGCGCUGGGUGUGUGGAGUUCUUAGUGUGCAGAGUAGAGCAGCCUCAUGUACGUUUCUUCUUUUGGAGAGGCGUCUUCGUGAGCCUACGGACACAAACUGUCGCUGCAUCUGCCAUUCACACAUCCAACCUUCCAUCCAACCUUCCAUCCAACCUUCCCUCUGUCGGCCUUCCCAGGAUUCCGUCCGUCAAAGGAGUCCUUCUGCAGGCCUGGCGUCUCUGCUGACGGGAGGGCACGCUUGAGACUGCGAGAGGGAAUUCGAAGAGUUCCAAGGUGAACCGUCUUCAGUCAACAUGACCAGCGUCAACGCUCCAGCCUGCCUGCUGGCUCGGAACCACUUCUACAAAAGCAGCAGUCCUACUGAGAGCACCAAGUCAGAGUUCAGUCUCUCUGAAGGCCCCUUGCCACCCAGACAGAGACAGGUGACCGUCUGGGUCACCAUGACAACACCGCCAGGGUUUCCUGAUGGGAUAACCAGGGGUUGCUGGGUCAGUAUUGUCCUGGCUAGCCCUUUCAGCCAGUCCACCCCCAACAAACAUCCCCGCCCUGCCAACAGAGCCGUCAAGUAGUCAACGCCCCAACAUCCAACCCCAUUGGUUUACAUGCUGGAGAACAGGAAGAUGUCAUCAUCGGAAUCCUCCAAUUCCUCUUCUCCCCCCCUCUUUGCACAUGAGCAUAGCCAGCCAGUGUAACUGGGUUUGGUGUUUUAUAGCCCUUUGUGCAACAAUUAACAAAGACACAAAACUCAGCCUUGCACCGCCAGGAAAACCUGUCUUGUUUUGUGUAGGCAGACUGAAAGGUGACACAACACCCCUGGAAUACUGUGUGUAAGACAUGACUUUCUCUAAAAAGUGACAUUUACUGAUGUAAGCCAAAAGGCUAUGCAUACAAAUAGACAAAUGACAGACACAAAACUUAUUUUUUUACUUUGACUUUCCUUUACGUUCACUGCAUUCCCCAGCUCUAAGAACUUCCCCCUAUGUUGAACAAAUGUCAAGAACAUUAUGUUCCUUUCUGUCCGUUCUGCUGGAUGGUUGCCAGGCAGCAGCUGGGAAGUUGUCUCAGUUGUGCGUGCAGAUCUCCAGUGUGGAUCCUCUCUGAUUUGCCUUCCCCCAGAUCUGAGGUCAGAAGAGCUUCGCUUAGCUUUCUCCCGUCAGGUCUGCGAAGGAAUAGAGUCCGAAAAAUAAA
This is a long non-coding RNA of Hypomesus transpacificus, 1462 nucleotides long. RefSeq lists it as uncharacterized. The record is from RefSeq and is a predicted model, not a curated record. NCBI's taxonomy places the organism in Eukaryota, Metazoa, Chordata, Actinopteri, Osmeriformes, Osmeridae. The transcript is spliced from 4 exons.